AAAUAACUUUCUAACUAGUCAUUUAAGAGCAACUCCCGGGAAACUGUGAUGCAAUCCCACAUAUCAGCCAGACUUCAAAAGCUGCCAGAUUAUUGUGAAAGGAGAAACACUGUUUUCGAAGGCUGCUGAUAAUGCCUAUUAGCCAGAAGAAAGAGCCUGAAUCAUUCAAAGGUUUUCCAUCUAGUAAAGAAGUGUGGUAAAAAUCUUGCCCAGAUCUGCAUGUGCUAAGCAUCUACGUAAGUUGGAGCAUCAUAUUAAUGACACCCAGUGAAGAAACGAAAGAAUGAAGUGUAAUUACUAUAUCAAAAAUCCACAGAAUGUGAAAGUAUAAAGGAAAACUCUCAGGUGAGACUCGAUUAUUUUUAUUUCAAAGAUCUAGGUAAAAAUGUGAACAGAUUGGGAGGCUGAGGCAGGAGAAUCACUUGAACCCAGGAGGCAGAAGUUGCAGUGAGCCAAGAUUGCACCAUUGGACUCCAGCCUGGGCAACAGACAAGACUCUAUCUCAAAAAAAAAAUGUGAACAGAUAUAUUGACAUAAAAUUCAUAAAACAUAUGGAUAUACUAAAAACUAGGAAGUCUGGUUGCUUCUGAGGAUAAGAGUUGAGGACCUGUUUCAAGAAUACUUUGCACAGCUUGUACUAUUGCAGUAUUUGAAUUUUUUCUUGUACAUGUAUAACUUUUUUAAAAAGAAUGAGAAAUGCUGUACAAGUGCAACUAUUUUUACUGUAAGUUUUUAUUUCCAUAAAACUAUAAUUAAGUGUGUGGUCAAUAGAUCCUGUUAUAUAGCUAUGAUAUCCCUUGAAUUUGUUUACCUGGUAACACUAGCUCACGUUUGUAAAUCCUUUGGAACUCCCAAAGCGAUUUUACAUACAUUACCUAAUUUGUAAGAUUACAAAACUAUUACAUUAGCUUUUCUGGUUUUCUUGUCUUAAUACGUGAUUAUCAUAUUAAACUGCAGUGUUUUUUUUUUUCCAUCAAGUCACACACACAAAACAGGAAACCAGCAGUUGUAAUUUCUUCAGCAAUUCUUAAUCUGCUCAGCUAAAAACUUUGGAGUUAGACAUAUGGACAGCCCACCCCAAGGGAAGAAUCAGAGGAGAAGGGACACAAGACCCCAGAAACACACAAAGCACCUUAAUAUGCAUGCUGCAUCUCUCUAAAAUUGUGGAACCUGUUUACCUGCUCUGGAGAAUGGCUGCCUGUGGCAGACAUAGGAGUUGUCCUCAUGCUGUGCUUCCUAUCUUCCACAGUAAUUGACUUGUAGCUGCAAUACAGUUACCAACCAGGAAUACAAUUUCUCAGCCCCAUGUCUUGCACCUACAGCUAAGUGUGGCCAUGUGACCAGUUUUCACCAAUUAAGUGUGAAUAGCAACAAAGUGCACCACCUUCAAUUGGAGGCUUUGAAGAAGCAGGGCAGCCUUCCCUUGCUCUCUUUCCCCUUGUUCUGGUGGGAUACAGAUGACAAUAAGGCCCUGGGUUUUGAGGUAGCCACAAGAUGCAAAAUACCUCAGACCUGAGUCACCACAAGGAAGAGAGAAGCCCACUGACAUGGAAUACCCAGCCUAGUCUACAGAUGAAUAAGAAAUAAACUUCUAUUAUGUUCGAACAUUACAGAUUUUGUUCUGUUAUAGCAGUUUAUCUCACCCUGACUAAACUGUUGCCUAUCUUCCAAGAUAGGCCCUCCUUCCCUGAAAGUGACUUUUUCAUACAUGUAAUCUGUAUUUUAAUUCAUAUUCUCCAAAGCAUAUCCACAUCUAUUCAACUAUUUUCAUGUCUUCCAUCAAU
This 1784-nucleotide long non-coding RNA is filed under the name Homo sapiens (human). RNAcentral's name for it is "HSALNT0294274". Lineage: Eukaryota; Metazoa; Chordata; Mammalia; Primates; Hominidae. The record is from RNAcentral.